GCCCCUGGUAGCUCAAUGGCGAGCGCCGGACUCGUAAUCCGGAGGAUGUGGGUUCGAAUCCCACCCGGGGCC
This 72-nucleotide transfer RNA is filed under the name Caulobacteraceae bacterium. RNAcentral's name for it is "tRNA-Thr". It matches the Rfam family "tRNA". From Rfam's summary of the family: Transfer RNA (tRNA) molecules are approximately 80 nucleotides in length. Their secondary structure includes four short double-helical elements and three loops (D, anti-codon, and T loops). Further hydrogen bonds mediate the characteristic L-shaped molecular structure. tRNAs have two regions of fundamental functional importance: the anti-codon, which is responsible for specific mRNA codon recognition, and the 3' end, to which the tRNAs corresponding amino acid is attached (by aminoacyl-tRNA synthetases). tRNAs cope with the degeneracy of the genetic code in two manners: having more than one tRNA (with a specific anti-codon) for a particular amino acid; and 'wobble' base-pairing, i.e. permitting non-standard base-pairing at the 3rd anti-codon position. The record is from RNAcentral. Lineage: Bacteria; Pseudomonadati; Pseudomonadota; Alphaproteobacteria; Caulobacterales; Caulobacteraceae.